This 495-nucleotide ribosomal RNA is filed under the name uncultured bacterium. RNAcentral's name for it is "partial 16S ribosomal RNA". It matches the Rfam family "Bacterial small subunit ribosomal RNA", at positions 28 to 507 of the family's 1533-position model. The record is from RNAcentral.
GACGAACGCUGGCGGCGUGCCUAAUACAUGCAAGUAGAACGCUGAAGGAGGAGCUUGCUUCUCUGGAUGAGUUGCGAACGGGUGAGUAACGCGUAGGUAACCUGCCUGGUAGCGGGGGAUAACUAUUGGAAACGAUAGCUAAUACCGCAUAAUAGUAGAUGUCGCAUGACAUUUGCUUAAAAGGUGCAAUUGCAUCACUACCAGAUGGACCUGCGUUGUAUUAGCUAGUUGGUGAGGUAACGGCUCACCAAGGCAACGAUACAUAGCCGACCUGAGAGGGUGAUCGGCCACACUGGGACUGAGACACGGCCCAGACUCCUACGGGAGGCAGCAGUAGGGAAUCUUCGGCAAUGGACGGAAGUCUGACCGAGCAACGCCGCGUGAGUGAAGAAGGUUUUCGGAUCGUAAAGCUCUGUUGUAAGAGAAGAACGAGUGUGAGAGUGGAAAGUUCACACUGUGACGGUAGCUUACCAGAAAGGGACGGCUAACUACGUG